Small nuclear RNA from Andrographis paniculata, 120 nucleotides. RefSeq annotates it as U5 spliceosomal RNA. The transcript has a single exon. The record is from RefSeq and is a predicted model, not a curated record. NCBI's taxonomy places the organism in Eukaryota, Viridiplantae, Streptophyta, Magnoliopsida, Lamiales, Acanthaceae.
CAGCUGCGCAGUAAGCACACAGCGAAUUAUUCUUUCGCCUUUUACUAAAGAAUACCGUGUGUUUGUUGUAUCUAAGCAGCAUAAGCUUUUUUUUUGGAGGGGAAGUUCUUAUAGGGACAU